CGGCUACGAUUUCCGAUUGUUCUGCGAUUAAAACUCGCGAUUAUUGAUAUAAUAUUAGAAUACUGCAGUCGUAACGCGUGUAAUAAAUCCUGUGAAAUAAUCUCGGCGAAUACCUGUCCUAACGCAAUGGAAUAAUAUUAUAGGUGCAUACCUAUAUACACUUAUGAAAACGCAUUUUAUUACACGGUCACGUUUAUGAAUUCAGUCGCAGUCGCAGGUGUAAUGGUAUUACUAUUAUUACCUAUUAUUACCACCUAUCGUAUACGCGCGAGACGAAUAAAAAUUUUAAAAAAACCGUGUUAUAAACUAUAUAUUUUAUAAUAUUUAUUGUGGUAUAGGCAACGGCCAACACCUACAUCCGAGUUGACCAGUUAUCAAAAUUAUGUAUACAUACGUAUAUUGUGUAUAGUUACAUAAAUGUGACGUGGACAGCGCGUUUGCGAAUUGCGGAUAAUGUUAUUUUCCGUGUGUAUACACUGUACGUAUACUGUUCGUAAAGUUUCCCGACAAAGACGUUUGGUACACGAAAAACCGUCGUUAACGAAAACAGAUUCCGAGUUGCGUACAAUCGAAUAACACGCACAUUUAAAUAUAUAAUGUGUACGGAAAUAAUGAAACCGUUAAUUUCGUUUUUUCCCAUAAUACGUUUCCCGGUUUUAUCAAAUUAUUAUCAGAAGACUAUACGAAAAAUCAAAAAAAAAGAUUUCUUACUCGGGGGCUAAAUCCAAAACGCUACACAAAAAUUAUUUUCUCAUUUUUCGAUCAGAGCAAGAUUUCUGGAGGAAAAGUAGUGUACAGACAUACCAGAUUAUUGUACUGAGUGAUUUUUUGACAGCAAUAAGCACUCCGCCCCCGCGUACCUUACUAUUUGUAUUUUUAUGCUAAAUAUUGUUAUAUAAAUGUUAUAAAAAAAAAAAAUGUACAUCUUUGUAAAACUAUAAGCUUCUACGCUCCACUCUGAAUAUAAAAAAUGAAAACUUGUCGACUAUAACGGCUUAUAUUAUUGUUAGCGAUUUAUUAUUAUUAGUAUGGUAUUAGGUAUUAUAUUUUUCUAUGAUCUUUUGAAAUAUUUACAUAUAAUGGAUAGGUAUUAUACGAUUUUUUUAAAAAAACGAAUUUAAUUGUUUUAUUAUUGACUUAUUGACUGUAACGAAUUAUACUAUAAUAUUACUAUAAAAUUUUAGAAGUAGCGAAUUUUCAAUAUUUUUCUGAGAAGGGGCCUAAAAAAUCAUAUGUUUUUAAAAGGUUUUUCUAUUAAUAGAUGCCUCUUUUUUGGACGAUAUUUUAUUGAAAUUAUAUCGGUGUCUGGGGAAUCCACCAUCCCUUUCCCCUGUAAAUCCGCCACUGUAAUUUAGGUACACGAUUCCCAAACAAUAUUUGACGAAAACGUCUCUUUACAAAUUAGGUUUUGAUGAAAACGGGCCAUGUUCUGCAUAGGGUACGCCACAUUUUAAAUCGAAUUGCAUUACCGUGGUUAAAAUGCUACAUAAUAAUAUUUGUACACGUGACGUCCUUAAUAGUUAAAUUAGAAGUGAGGUUUCCUUCGCUCUCCGUCUGAAUAAAAAUAAUUAAAUCAAAGGGUCA
This 1584-nucleotide long non-coding RNA is filed under the name Cinara cedri. Lineage: Eukaryota; Metazoa; Arthropoda; Insecta; Hemiptera; Aphididae. The record is from RNAcentral.